GAUGAACGCUGGCGGCGUGCCUAAUACAUGCAAGUCGAGCGAACAGACGAGGCUCUUGUUCCUUUCACGUUAGCGGCGGACGGGUGAGUAACACGUGGAUAACCUACUUAUAAGACUGGGAUAAUUUCGGGAAACCGGAUCUAACACCGUAUAAUAUAUUGCACCGUAUUGUUCAAUAGUGAAAGUCGGCUUUGGUGUCACUUCUAGAUGCUUCUGGGCCGCAUUAGCUAGUUGGUACGGUAACGGCUUACCACGGCGACGAUGCGUAGCCGAACUGAGAGGGUGAUAGGCCGCACUGGAACGGGAACACGGACAAGGGUCCUAAGAGAGGCAGCAGUAGGGAAUGUUCCGCAGUAGGCGGAAGCAUGGCGGAGCGACGCCACGUGAGUGAUGAAGGUGUUCGGAUCGUGAAAAUGUGUUUUGAGGGAAAAACAGAUGUGUAAGUAACUAAGCACGUCGUGACGGUACCUGAUCAGGAAGCAACGGCUAACUACGUG
This 497-nucleotide ribosomal RNA is filed under the name uncultured bacterium. RNAcentral's name for it is "partial 16S ribosomal RNA". It matches the Rfam family "Bacterial small subunit ribosomal RNA", at positions 28 to 507 of the family's 1533-position model. The record is from RNAcentral.